Molecule: long non-coding RNA, 415 nt
Organism: Pipra filicauda (Wire-tailed manakin)
Lineage: Eukaryota; Metazoa; Chordata; Aves; Passeriformes; Pipridae
Exons: 2
Source: RefSeq, a predicted model, not a curated record
ACGCGCCUCCCCGGUGCGGAGCCCUCAAGGCGACAUCCGGCGGAAGCGGCGCGGCCCCCGCUCCGGGCCGCGAUGGCGACGGGCAGGGGCUGGGGGAGCCUCCCGGGAUAGGGAAUGGCACUGGGCCCGGGAGAGCCACCCGCUGGGGGAGCAGCCCGCGGGAUCGGGAAUGGCAGCGGGCAGGAGCUGCCCCGCCGCCGCCCCGCGGCUCAUCCCCGCUGACCCAGAUUAUCUAGCUGCCUCAGAAGAGGUCUGUGAAAAGGCCAGAAGAACAUGUGCCUCAGUGAGGGCUGGAAAUAUUAAAUUUUCUUUUCAUGUGCUUCCCAGCUACAAGUCUGCCAGCAGUUCUUUUUUGUCUUCUUUUUCCUUUCUGUCCACUUCUGUGCAGUCAUGUCUUAAUUAAAGCUGUAUUAAA